CCGUACUAUUAUGGUCCGACGCGCGAGAAAGACCGGACAGGUUCAGAUUAUUAUUGUUACAAACCGCCAGCUUAAUUUAACUCAAUUGGUAAAAGAGUUGGUUAAAGAUUUCCCAGAAGUUGUGACAGUAGCUGUUAAUACAAAUACAGCUAAAACCAGUGAGAUAUAUGGUGAAAAGACAGAGAUUAUCUGGGGGCAAGAGAGUAUUCAAGAAGGUGUACUCAAUUAUGAAUUUUCACUAUCCCCUCGAGCUUUUUAUCAACUAAAUCCUGAGCAAACAGAAGUCCUCUAUAGCGAAGCAGUAAAAGCGCUGGAUGUUGAUAAAGAAGACCAUUUGAUUGACGCUUAUUGUGGAGUUGGAACGAUUGGAUUUGCCUUUGCAAAGAAAGUAAAAACACUCAGAGGUAUGGAUAUUAUUCCAGAAGCUAUUGAAGAUGCCAAGCGAAAUGCUAAAAGAAUGGGAUUUGACAAUACUCAUUAUGAAGCUGGAACGGCAGAAGAGAUUAUUCCUCGUUGGUACAAGGAAGGCUACCGAGCAGAUGCUUUGAUUGUUGACCCACCACGUACAGGUCUGGAUGAUAAGUUAUUAGAUACUAUUCUUACUUAUGUACCAGAAAAAAUGGUUUAUAUUUCUUGUAAUGUUUCGACCUUGGCUCGUGAUUUGGUACGCUUAGUAGAAGUCUAUGAUCUUCAUUAUAUCCAGUCGGUCGAUAUGUUCCCACAUACAGCUCGAACUGAAGCUGUUGUAAAAUUAAUAAAAAAAGUUUAAAAAAGUAGUUGACAAAGUUUGAAAAGACUGUAUAAUAGUAAGAGUUGAAAAUAACAACUCAGGUCCGUUGGUCAAGGGGUUAAGACACCGCCUUUUCACGGCGGUAACACGGGUUCGAAUCCCGUACGGACUAUGGUAUGUUGCGGUUGGAACACUUGAUGAAAAAAAGUUUAAAAAACUUAAAAAUCUUCAAAAAAGUGUUGACAAGUGAAAGUGGCUGUGAUAUACUAAUAUAGUUGUCGCUUGAGAGAAGCAAGUGACAAAGACCUUUGAAAACUGAACAAGACGAACCAAUGUGCAGGGCGCUACAACAUAAGUUGUAGUACUGAACAAUGAAAAAAACAAUAAAUCUGUCAGUGACAGAAAUGAGUGAGAACUCAAACUUUUAAUGAGAGUUUGAUCCUGGCUCAGGACGAACGCUGGCGGCGUGCCUAAUACAUGCAAGUAGAACGCUGAAGGAGGAGCUUGCUUCUCUGGAUGAGUUGCGAACGGGUGAGAAUCCUGUCCACCGUAAGACUAAGGUUUCCAGGGGAAGGCUCGUCCGCCCUGGGUUAGUCGGGACCUAAGGAGAGACCGAAAGGUGUAUCCGAUGGACAACAGGUUGAUAUUCCUGUACUAGAGUAUGUAGUGAUGGAGGGACGCAGUAGGCUAACUAAAGCAGACGAUUGGAAGAGUCUGUCUAAGCAGUGAGGUGUGAAUUGAGUCAAAUGCUUAAUUCUAUAACAUUGAGCUGUGAUGGGGAGCGAAGUUUAGUAGCGAAGUUAGUGACGUCACACUGCCAAGAAAAGCUUCUAGCGUUUAAACAUACUCUACCCGUACCGCAAACCGACACAGGUAGUCGAGGCGAGUAGCCUCAGGUGAGCGAGAGAACUCUCGUUAAGGAACUCGGCAAAAUGACCCCGUAACUUCGGGAGAAGGGGUGCUGACUUAAAGUCAGCCGCAGUGAAUAGGCCCAAGCAACUGUUUAUCAAAAACACAGCUCUCUGCUAAAUCGUAAGAUGAUGUAUAGGGGGUGACGCCUGCCCGGUGCUGGAAGGUUAAGAGGAGUGCUUAGCGUAAGCGAAGGUAUGAAUUGAAGCCCCAGUAAACGGCGGCCGUAACUAUAACGGUCCUAAGGUAGCGAAAUUCCUUGUCGGGUAAGUUCCGACCCGCACGAAAGGCGUAAUGAUUUGGGCACUGUCUCAACGAGAGACUCGGUGAAAUUUUAGUACCUGUGAAGAUGCAGGUUACCCGCGACAGGACGGAAAGACCCCAUGGAGCUUUACUGCAGUUUGAUAUUGAGUGUCUGUACCACAUGUACAGGAUAGGUAGGAGUCUAAGAGAUCGGGACGCCAGUUUCGAAGGAGACGCUGUUGGGAUACUACCCUUGUGUUAUGGCCACUCUAACCCAGAUAGGUGAUCCCUAUCGGAGACAGUGUCUGACGGGCAGUUUGACUGGGGCGGUCGCCUCCUAAAAGGUAACGGAGGCGCCCAAAGGUUCCCUCAGAAUGGUUGGAAAUCAUUCGCAGAGUGUAAAGGUAUAAGGGAGCUUGACUGCGAGAGCUACAACUCGAGCAGGGACGAAAGUCGGGCUUAGUGAUCCGGUGGUUCCGUAUGGAAGGGCCAUCGCUCAACGGAUAAAAGCUACCCUGGGGAUAACAGGCUUAUCUCCCCCAAGAGUUCACAUCGACGGGGAGGUUUGGCACCUCGAUGUCGGCUCGUCGCAUCCUGGGGCUGUAGUCGGUCCCAAGGGUUGGGCUGUUCGCCCAUUAAAGCGGCACGCGAGCUGGGUUCAGAACGUCGUGAGACAGUUCGGUCCCUAUCCGUCGCGGGCGUAGGAAAUUUGAGAGGAUCUGCUCCUAGUACGAGAGGACCAGAGUGGACUUACCGCUGGUGUACCAGUUGUCUUGCCAAAGGCAUCGCUGGGUAGCUAUGUAGGGAAGGGAUAAACGCUGAAAGCAUCUAAGUGUGAAACCCACCUCAAGAUGAGAUUUCCCAUGAUUAUAUAUCAGUAAGAGCCCUGAGAGAUGAUCAGGUAGAUAGGUUAGAAGUGGAAGUGUGGCGACACAUGUAGCGGACUAAUACUAAUAGCUCGAGGACUUAUCC
Molecule: ribosomal RNA, 2854 nt
Filed under: Streptococcus pneumoniae GA05248
Lineage: Bacteria; Bacillati; Bacillota; Bacilli; Lactobacillales; Streptococcaceae
Description: bacterial LSU rRNA
Rfam family: Bacterial large subunit ribosomal RNA (bases 1082-2854)
Source: RNAcentral